Molecule: ribosomal RNA, 474 nt
Filed under: uncultured bacterium
Lineage: Bacteria
Description: bacterial SSU rRNA
Rfam family: Bacterial small subunit ribosomal RNA
Source: RNAcentral
CGCUAUCACUCCUACGGGAGGCAGCAGUGGGGAAUAUUGCACAAUGGGGGAAACCCUGAUGCAGCCAUGCCGCGUGUGUGAAGAAGGCCUUCGGGUUGUUAAAGCACUUUCAGUAGGGAGGAAGGUAGUGUAGUUAACACCUGCAUUAUUUGACGUUACCUACAGAAGAAGCACCGGCUAACUCCGUGCCAGCAGCCGCGGUAAUACGGAGGGUGCGAGCGUUAAUCGGAAUUACUGGGCGUAAAGCGCAUGCAGGCGGCCUGUUAAGUCAGAUGUGAAAGCCCGGGGCUUAACCUCGGAAUUGCAUUUGAAACUGGCAGGCUAGAGUCUUGUAGAGGGGGUAGAAUUUCAGGUGUAGCGGUGAAAAUGCGUAGAGAUCUGAAGGAAUACCAGUGGCGAAGGCGGCCCCCUGGACAAAGACUGACGCUCAGAUGCGAAAGCGUGGGGAGCAAACAGGAUUAGAUACCCUGGUAG